RNAcentral lists this ribosomal RNA (403 nucleotides) under uncultured bacterium. RNAcentral describes it as "bacterial SSU rRNA". It matches the Rfam family "Bacterial small subunit ribosomal RNA", at positions 355 to 775 of the family's 1533-position model. The record is from RNAcentral.
CAAGGAAUUUUCCCCAAUGGGCGCAAGCCUGAGGGAGCAACGCCGCGUGCCGGACGACGGCCUUCGGGUUGUAAACGGCUUUUGGGGGCGACGAUGAUGACGGUAGCCUCCGAAUAAGCCCCGGCUAACUCUGUGCCAGCAGCCGCGGUAAUACAGAGGGGGCAAGCGUUGUCCGGACUGACUGGGCGUAAAGCGCGCGCAGGCGGUCGCGGGCGUCGGUGCUGAAAGGGCGCCGCUUAACGGCGCGAAGGGUGCCGAUACGCCGCGACUGGAGCGAUGGCGAGGGUGGUGGAAUUGCCGGUGUAGUGGUGAAAUGCGUAGAGAUCGGCAGGAACACCCGUGGCGCAAGCGGCCACCUAGCCGUCGGCUGACGCUGAGGCGCGACAGCGUGGGGAGCGAACCG